GAUGGAUGCAGGAAAAUUUCCUCCUCCUGAUACAACUUAUAAAAGGCAUUUUAAAAUUCUGUUUAUCACUUACAACUCUGUGCGUGAAGCAAUUUUAACCCCAUCUUACACAUAAAGAAACUGGACCUCAGAGGAGUUUUUACUAUUUAUCUUUUUCCUGGAAGGAGCUGCAAGAAAAUUAUGUUGCUGCUGUGGCCCAGGUCAGAGAGGGGAAGACUGAAAAAUCAUAACAAGCUACACUCAGAUUUGCAGCCCACAUUCACAUCACUGAAUUUGCACAAAUGUAAGACCUUAGAAAUCUUUCUGGUUUCAGAAGACUUGCCUGCUAAGUGUAUGCCAGGAACUCGGCAGUGGUGUGCCAAAGGCGGGACAAGGGGUGUGGCUGACCCGGGUGCAACAAUAGAGCAUGCAUUAUCUGGAGAGAAUUUUAAAACUACUCAAGCCUAGUUUG
Cervus elaphus (red deer) is the source of this 451-nucleotide long non-coding RNA. RefSeq lists it as uncharacterized. The record is from RefSeq and is a predicted model, not a curated record. NCBI's taxonomy places the organism in Eukaryota, Metazoa, Chordata, Mammalia, Artiodactyla, Cervidae. The transcript is spliced from 3 exons.